This is a long non-coding RNA of Mustela erminea (ermine), 362 nucleotides long. RefSeq lists it as uncharacterized. The record is from RefSeq and is a predicted model, not a curated record. The transcript has 3 exons. NCBI's taxonomy places the organism in Eukaryota, Metazoa, Chordata, Mammalia, Carnivora, Mustelidae.
UCCUCCUGCCAGUCAGAGUUGAAGCAACAGGGGGUGCUCUCCAAGAGCCGUGAGUCACCACUGGGGUUCAGCUUGCAUCUCCUUCAGAUGGGAGGCAGAAGACCCCAGAAAUGGUUCAUUUCUUUUCUUUAUGGCCCCAUCUUCCCCUUCAACACAGCUCCUGUCCACUUAAGUUACUGCAAAACUUCCUUCUCCAUGCGUGAUAUGAAGCCAGCUCCUCUCAGCACUAGUCCAAUUAACAUUGCCAUAAAACUACUGACGAGAAGCCGAGAGACAGAAAGAUGUGCCCCUUAAGGUGUGGAAGAUGGGAAGAUCUUGGGAUAGAGAAGAAAGCUUGUGUUUUGGUGAGACUCUGGCCACGC